This 708-nucleotide ribosomal RNA is filed under the name uncultured organism. RNAcentral's name for it is "bacterial SSU rRNA". It matches the Rfam family "Bacterial small subunit ribosomal RNA", at positions 701 to 1424 of the family's 1533-position model. The record is from RNAcentral.
AAGGAACACCAAAGGCGAAGGCAUUGCACUGGGCUAGCACUGACCCUGAGAGACGAAAGCGUGGGGAGCAAAACGGAUUAGCUACCCGUGUAGUCCACGCCCUAAACGAUGAAUGCUAAAUGUUCGGGGAUUCGACCCCCUGGGUGUUACAGCUAACGCGUUAAGCAUUCCGCCUGGGAAGUACGGCCGCAAGGCUAAAACUCAAAGGAAUAGACGGGGAUCCGCACAAGCGGUGGAGCGUCUGGUUUAAUUCGACAGUAAGCGUGGUACCUCACCAGGGUUUGACAUCCCUUGACAGCCUUGGAAACAAGGUUUCCUUCGGGCAAGGUGACAGGUGCUGCAUGGUCGUCGUCAGUUCGUGCCGUGAGGUGUUCCGUUAAGUCGGGAAACGAACGAAACCCCUAUUGCAUGUUACAAUUUCUCAUGCAAGACUGCCCGGAUAUACUGGGAGGAAGGUGGGGAUGACGUCAGAUCUGCAUGGUCCUUAUACCCUGGGCGACACAGGCGCUACAAUGGCAGAGACAAAGGGUUGCAAAACCGCAAGGUGAAGCUAAUCCCAAAAACUUUGUCUAAGUUCGGAUUGAAGGCUGCAAUUCGCCUUCAUGAAGCUGGAAUCGCUAGUAAUCGUGAAUCAGCCACGUCACGGUGAAUAUGUUCCCGGAUCUUGUACUCACCGCCCGUCACACCAAGAGAGUUGGUAGCUCCCGA